UGCUUCCUGAAAUGAGAAAGGAUGGUGAGAUCUUUUUUAUUUUGUUUUUCAAUUUUUGUUAUAUUUUCUUUGCAGACUUUAAACAAGUAUGAGAGAAAUUGUAAUCUUGGCAGGCAAAAUGAUGUAACACAUGAUAUUACUUGUUAUUUCUGCAUGCUACACAAAUACAAAUGAAAUUAUUGAUCUUAAAGACAAUUCAGAACAGUUUAGAAAUGAACAAGUAAACGCACAUGUCAUCUCAAUAAUUGGGAUGACUUGAUUUAUUUUUAUAAUUUCUCUCUGGCCAGGAUGUACCAUACAGCCAUUUCAGCACCUCUAGUCCAUUCUUUGAAGACUGAGGAAAAUGAUCCAUAUAGUAGACCUCAACUAGAUUGGGUUUGAGGCUGAGUUGAAUGUGGAAACACCUGGAACACUCCUAAAAACAAUGCUUUCUGGAACACUCCUAAAAACAAUGCUUUCUAUGGAAAAAUAUUGAAUGUUUCUCCAUAUUCAGUGGCUUGGUUGGGACACAGGUGUAUUUAAAAAAUCACUAAAUCAUGCUUUUGACUCAAUACCACUGGACAAAAAUGCAUGCUAUAGUGUUGAGAAUAAGAGAACAAAGAUCUUUCUCUAAAUGGGAGAAAAUGGGUAAAAGAUAUGGAAGGUUAUAGUUUGAAGUUAGUGAAGUUUGGAAAGAAAAGAGGAGAAAAUGAAAGGGAAUGAAAGUUAGGAUAGGGAUAGUGGUGGUUUUCACUAAUUAUUUGCAUCUUUAUAUACCAUUCAUCUGUUAUGUCCACUAGUUAGCAUUAAAGACUAUACCAUAGUUUACAAAUGAUGUUCUGUGAAAUGUACUCUCUUGCUUCGGUUUCAAGCUAGAUGGGUUAUUGCUUUUCUAGUUUAAUAGGUAGAUGAUGGAUAAUGAGUAUUAACAACUCACAUUGCUGUUGGUUUAACUAGGACAAUGUUCUUCGAAGCUACCAUGUAGCAAACAACCUUGACAGCAAGACAUUCUUUCUUUCAUUUUCUUC
This 1007-nucleotide unclassified non-coding RNA is filed under the name Hevea brasiliensis (rubber tree). The record is from RNAcentral. Lineage: Eukaryota; Viridiplantae; Streptophyta; Magnoliopsida; Malpighiales; Euphorbiaceae.